ACGGGAAGAGCCCAAACCAACAAGCUUGCUUGUUGGGGUUGUAGGACACUCUAUACGGAGUUACAAAGGACGACAUUAGACGAAUCAUCUGGAAAGAUGAAUCAAAGAAGGUAAUAAUCCUGUAGUCGAAAAUGUUGUCUCUCUUGAGUGGAUCCUGAGUACGACGGAGCACGUGAAAUUCCGUCGGAAUCUGGGAGGACCAUCUCCUAAGGCUAAAUACUCUCUAGUGACCGAUAGUGAACCAGUACCGUGAGGGAAAGGUGAAAAGCACCCCGGAAGGGGAGUGAAAUAGAACCUGAAACCGUGUGCUUACAAGUAGUCAGAGCCCGUUAAUGGGUGAUGGCGUGCCUUUUGUAGAAUGAACCGGCGAGUUACGAUUUGAUGCAAGGUUAAGCAGUAAAUGUGGAGCCGUAGCGAAAGCGAGUCUGAAUAGGGCGUUUAGUAUUUGGUCGUAGACCCGAAACCAGGUGAUCUACCCUUGGUCAGGUUGAAGUUCAGGUAACACUGAAUGGAGGACCGAACCGACUUACGUUGAAAAGUGAGCGGAUGAACUGAGGGUAGCGGAGAAAUUCC
This 573-nucleotide ribosomal RNA is filed under the name Staphylococcus aureus. RNAcentral describes it as "partial 23S ribosomal RNA". It matches the Rfam family "Bacterial large subunit ribosomal RNA", at positions 258 to 830 of the family's 2925-position model. The record is from RNAcentral. Lineage: Bacteria; Bacillati; Bacillota; Bacilli; Caryophanales; Staphylococcaceae.